This 440-nucleotide ribosomal RNA is filed under the name uncultured bacterium. RNAcentral's name for it is "partial 16S ribosomal RNA". It matches the Rfam family "Bacterial small subunit ribosomal RNA", at positions 338 to 795 of the family's 1533-position model. The record is from RNAcentral.
CCUACGGGGGGCAGCAGUGGGGGAUAUUGCACAAUGGGGGGAACCCUGAUGCAGCGACGCCGCGUGGGUGAAGAAGCGCCUCGGCGCGUAAAGCCCUGUCAGCCGGGAAGAAAAUGACGGUACCUGAAGAAGAAGCCACGGCUAACUACGUGCCAGCAGCCGCGGUAAUACGUAGGGGGCAAGCGUUAUCCGGAUGUACUGGGGGUAAAGGGGGCGCAGACGGCGAUGCAAGCCAGGAGGGAACGCCAGGGGACCAACCCCGGAAGUGCUCUGGAACCUGGGCGGCUAGAGUACUGGAGGGGCAGGCGGAAUGCCUGGUGUAGCGGUGAAAUGCGUAGAUAUUAGGAGGAACACCAGUGGCGAAGGCGGCCUGCUGGACAGUAACUGACGUUGAGGCUCGAAAGCGUGGGGAGCGAACAGGAUUAGAUACCCCAGUAGUC